AUACGUAGGGGGCGAGCGUUGUCCGGAAUGAUUGGGCGUAAAGGGCGCGUAGGCGGCGCGGUAAGUCUGGAGUGAAAGUCCUGUUUUUAAGAUGGGAAUUGCUUUGGAUACUGUCGGGCUUGAGUGCAGGAGAGGUAAGUGGAAUUCCCAGUGUAGCGGUGAAAUGCGUAGAGAUUGGGAGGAACACCAGUGGCGAAGGCGACUUACUGGACUGUAACUGACGCUGAGGCGCGAAAGUGUGGGGAGCAAACAGGAUUAGAUACCCUGGUAGUCCACACUGUAAACGAUGAAUGCUAGGUGUAGGGGGUAUCGACCCCUUCUGUGCCGCAGUCAACACAAUAAGCAUUCCGCCUGGGGAGUACGGCCGCAAGGUUGAAACUUAAAGGAAUUGACGGGG
Molecule: ribosomal RNA, 397 nt
Filed under: uncultured bacterium
Lineage: Bacteria
Description: partial 16S ribosomal RNA
Rfam family: Bacterial small subunit ribosomal RNA
Source: RNAcentral